This 1282-nucleotide long non-coding RNA is filed under the name Equus caballus (horse). Its description in RNAcentral is "lncRNA (ENSECAG00000044937.1)". Lineage: Eukaryota; Metazoa; Chordata; Mammalia; Perissodactyla; Equidae. The record is from RNAcentral.
CUGCUAUUUACUUGCCUCUUGUGUGCCAGAUACUGUGCUUUCUAUUCCUUGUCUUAUUUAAUACCCACAACACCUGUGACAUAGUUAUUAUUACUUCCAUGUUAGAGAUGGGGAAGCUAACAGUUGGAAAGUUUAUAUAAGUUGUCUAAGGUCACAGAGCUAAUAAGAGCCAGAACUAGCAUAUGAACCCAAGUCUCUCUGCCUCCAAAGUCCGUGUAAUUGCCACAGUACCUAUUUCUUCUUCACAACCUUGUAAGAGAGAUGAGAAUCAUGCAUCAUCAUUGCAAUACAAGGUUGAAAAGUGCUAAUUGGACAACAAAGGACAGGUACAGGGAGAGAUCAUGUCUGGCUAAGCAGGAUCGGGGAAGACUUCCAACAAUAGGAAGCAUUUAAGGUGGGCCUUAGAGAUAAGUAGACUAGGAUAUACCAGAGAAGGUGGCACUGGCAUCCCAGGCUUUGGGAUAAAAGAUGAAGAGUCACACCCUAAGAAUGCAAUAUACAACACAAAGGGUGAGCAAGCCAGUUAGGUUAGAGAUGGGCAUCCAGGAUGCAGGAACCCUCACUUCUGUUGGUACAUUCCACAAAGUGCUCUGCACACUAGACAAAAUCCUGAAAUCAACUAAUUGAAAAAAGGAAAAUGAUUACCUGCUACAAAAGGUAAGAGAAAGCUGCCCUCCUCCUUGUCCUCUACUUUUUCCUUUCUGUAAAGCAUGAAGCCCAGGACUUCUUGGACUAAGUAAAAAUGAGAGUAUUAAAAUUAAUAGCCAGAGAUGGCUUUAGCAAAAUGGGAAAUAGAGUGGUGGAGUGAAGCAAUAGAAUUAGCACUGGCACUGAAUUCAGACUGCCUUAACUUUGAGUCCCAGUUUUGCUACUUACUGGCUGUGUCACCCCAGGCAAAUGUCCUCAGCUCCCUGAGCCUCAAUUUCCUCAUCUCUCCAAUGGGGACAGCAGUACCCAACUCAUAGCAUGCUGCAAUUGAUCACAGCACCCCGAGAAGACGCUUGUGCUUGACUGGGUCCACCUUCAGCCCUCACUAAGAUGUCAUAAACACUCUCCCACGUCCACACAGCUGAAAGUGAGGAAUUCUGAGAUGGUAUAGCCGAUGCAAGAAAGCUGGAUUCUAAGUAAAUACUUGGUGAAGAGCUACCCACUUGAUCCGUUUGACAUUUACGCAACUGUGAAGGAGUGAGAAAUAAACUUCUGUUGUGUUGAACCACUGAGAUUUAUUUUGGGGUUUGUUGUUUCAGCAACUAGUGUUAAAUAUCCUGACUAAUUAAAGCAC